Molecule: ribosomal RNA, 398 nt
Filed under: uncultured bacterium
Lineage: Bacteria
Description: partial 16S ribosomal RNA
Rfam family: Bacterial small subunit ribosomal RNA
Source: RNAcentral
AUACGUAGGGUGCGAGCGUUGUCCGGAAUUACUGGGCGUAAAGAGCUCGUAGGCGGUUUGUCGCGUCGUCUGUGAAAUUCCGGGGCUUAACUCCGGGCGUGCAGGCGAUACGGGCAUAACUUGAGUACUGUAGGGGAGACUGGAAUUCCUGGUGUAGCGGUGAAAUGCGCAGAUAUCAGGAGGAACACCGGUGGCGAAGGGGGGUCUCUGGGCAGUAACUGACUGUGAGGAGCGAAAGCAUGGGUAGCGAACAGGAUUAGAUACCCUGGUAGUCCAUGCCGUAAACGGUGGGCGCUAGGUGUAGGGGUCUUCCACGACUUCUGUGCCGUAGCUAACGCAUUAAGCGCCCCGCCUGGGGAGUACGGCCGCAAGGCUAAAACUCAAAUGAAUUGACGGGG